AUCCUCCAGACUCCUUACCCAUCAGAUCCCAACAUGAGUUGAAUGGACAUAAAAGGAGGAAGAGUAAAACUGAAACAGACUUGGAUUCUUUUGUGACCUACAAGUUGUUUUGUUUUUUAAAGUC
Molecule: small nucleolar RNA, 124 nt
Filed under: Echinops telfairi (small Madagascar hedgehog)
Lineage: Eukaryota; Metazoa; Chordata; Mammalia; Afrosoricida; Tenrecidae
Description: Small nucleolar RNA SNORA61 (ENSETEG00000024040.1)
Source: RNAcentral